AUGAGUUGUCCUGAUGGCAUCAACUUCCUCGAUGUCAAAUUCUACCUAGGAGAUGUUGGCUAUGCAUGUCAGUCAGAUAUUCUUCCAUCCUUCAGGAAAAUCAUGUACCUUUUGAACGAGUUCGCUGGUAGACACUAUUCUAGGACUCCACAUGAGUUGUUCAAUCUCAGACACUCCAGCCUUAGAGUUACUGUUGAGAGGUUUGGAGCUGUGAAGAACGGGUUUAAGAUCCUAGAUCAAAAGCCAUUCCACACUUUCCACACUUUUCCUACCUAGGUCAAGCUUGUUCUUGCUUGUAGCAUUCUGCAUAACUAAAUCCUGCAAUGGGGUUGUGAUGAACUGGUGCCCGAGGAGGAAGAUGUGACGCCUGACGAUGUUGUCAGCUCUAUCCAUGGUUUGGAGGCAUUUGGCAACGAAGCCUAAAAGAAAAAAAGGAUGGAGUGGGCACAGGGAAUAUGGGAUGACAGAGGUCAGACAAGGAUCCGAAGAAGAAGAAGAAAAGCAAGAGCAGCAACAGAAGAAGAGGAAGAGCAGCAGAAGAGGAGGAGGAGGAAGACGAAGAACUAA
This 567-nucleotide ribosomal RNA is filed under the name Triticum aestivum (bread wheat). RNAcentral's name for it is "partial small subunit ribosomal RNA". The record is from RNAcentral. Lineage: Eukaryota; Viridiplantae; Streptophyta; Magnoliopsida; Poales; Poaceae.